CUGUGAUAAUGUAGCAUAAUAAUUAGCCGCUUAAUUAGCGGAUAGUAUGAAAGGCUAAACGAACCCUUCACUGUCUUAAAAAAAGAAAAAAUGAAAUUUAAACAAUAGUCAAGAUGCUAUUUAAGAUUGUAAGACGAAAAGACCCUAUAGAGCUUAACUAUAAGCUCUUAAAUUGAGAGUUUGGUAGUUUAGUUGGGGCGACUAACUUCUAAAAAUAACGAAGAUAAGCAAAGUUAUUUAUAAACUUACUGUAAAACUAAUUAAUUUAACAGUUACUAAAAUAGGCAAAAAGACCCAUUACUCCUACGUAGUAAGAAUAAUGAUUAAUAAACAAAAGCUACCUUAGGGAUAACAGGAUAAUUUUGCUAUAAAGACCACAUUGAAAGCAAAGUUUGUCACCUCUAUGUUGAAUUGAGAUAACCUAACAAAGCAGAAUUUGUCAAAGGUAGGUCUGUUCGACCUUUAAAAU
This 469-nucleotide ribosomal RNA is filed under the name Distichopora cf. cervina AL-2008. Its description in RNAcentral is "partial 16S large subunit ribosomal RNA". It matches the Rfam family "Bacterial large subunit ribosomal RNA", at positions 1946 to 2594 of the family's 2925-position model. Lineage: Eukaryota; Metazoa; Cnidaria; Hydrozoa; Anthoathecata; Stylasteridae. The record is from RNAcentral.